AGCGAACGCUGGCGGCAGGCUUAACACAUGCAAGUCGAGCGGGCACUUCGGUGUCAGCGGCAGACGGGUGAGUAACACGUGGGAACGUACCCUUCGGUUCGGAAUAACGCUGGGAAACUAGCGCUAAUACCGGAUACGCCCUUUUGGGGAAAGGUUUACUGCCGAAGGAUCGGCCCGCGUCUGAUUAGCUAGUUGGUGGGGUAAUGGCCUACCAAGGCGACGAUCAGUAGCUGGUCUGAGAGGAUGAUCAGCCACACUGGGACUGAGACACGGCCCAGACUCCUACGGGAGGCAGCAGUGGGGAAUAUUGGACAAUGGGCGCAAGCCUGAUCCAGCCAUGCCGCGUGAGUGAUGAAGGCCUUAGGGUUGUAAAGCUCUUUUGCCCGGGACGAUAAUGACGGUACCGGAAGAAUAAGCCCCGGCUAACUUCGUG
RNAcentral lists this ribosomal RNA (433 nucleotides) under uncultured bacterium. RNAcentral describes it as "partial 16S ribosomal RNA". It matches the Rfam family "Bacterial small subunit ribosomal RNA", at positions 29 to 507 of the family's 1533-position model. The record is from RNAcentral.